This 449-nucleotide ribosomal RNA is filed under the name uncultured bacterium. RNAcentral's name for it is "partial 16S ribosomal RNA". It matches the Rfam family "Bacterial small subunit ribosomal RNA", at positions 338 to 795 of the family's 1533-position model. The record is from RNAcentral.
CCUACGGGCGGCUGCAGUGGGGAAUAUUGGACAAUGGGGGAAACCCUGAUCCAGCAAUGCCGCGUGUGUGAAGAAGGCCUGCGGGUUGUAAAGCACUUUCGGUUGGGAAGAAAAGUUUGGCGCCAAUACCGCCGAACCUUGACGUUACUGACAGAAGAAGCACCGGCUAACUCUGUGCCAGCAGCCGCGGUCAUACAGAGGGUGCAAGCGUUAGUCGAGCUCACUUGGCUGGACACGCAAGUAGGUGGUGAAAUCCCCGGGCUUAACCUGGGAACUGCAUUCGAUACUACAUGGCUAGAGUAUGGUAGAGGGAAGUGGAAUGUCCGGUGUAGCGGUGAAAUGCGUAGAUAUCGGAAGGAACACCAAUGGCGAAGGCAGCUUCCUGGACUAAUACUGACACUGAGGCACGAAAGCGUGGGUAGCAAACAGGAUUAGAUACCCCUGUAGUC